This 253-nucleotide ribosomal RNA is filed under the name uncultured bacterium. Its description in RNAcentral is "partial 16S ribosomal RNA". It matches the Rfam family "Bacterial small subunit ribosomal RNA", at positions 524 to 776 of the family's 1533-position model. The record is from RNAcentral.
CACGGGGGGAGCAAGCGUUGUUCGGAAUCACUGGGCGUAAAGGGCGUGUAGGCGGUCAAGUAAGUGGGAUGUGAAAUCCCUCGGCUCACCCGAGGACCUGCAUCCCAAACUGCUUGGCUUGAGUAUGGGAGAGGAUGAGGGAAUUCCUGGUGUAGCGGUGAAAUGCGCAGAUAUCAGGAGGAACACCAAUGGCGAAGGCAGCUCGCUGGGACGUGACUGACGCUGAGACGCGAAAGCGUGGGGAGCAAACAGG